RNAcentral lists this ribosomal RNA (466 nucleotides) under uncultured bacterium. RNAcentral describes it as "partial 16S ribosomal RNA". It matches the Rfam family "Bacterial small subunit ribosomal RNA", at positions 28 to 507 of the family's 1533-position model. The record is from RNAcentral.
GAUGAACGCUGGCGGCGUGCUUAACACAUGCAAGUCGAACGGAAAGGCUCCUUCUUGCAGGGGUCCUGUAGUGGCGAACGGGUGAGUAGCACGUAGGUGAUCUGUCCUUCACUUCGGGAUAAGCUUGUGAAGCUGGGUCUAAUACCGGAUAGGACUUAUGUUUGGAUGCUAUUGUGGCGAGUUUUUUCGGUGUUGGUUGAGCUCGCGGCCUAUCAGCUUGUGGUCGGGGUAUUGGCCUACCAAGGCGUCGGCGGGUAGCCGGCCUGGGAGGGUGUACGGCUCAAUUGGGCCUGGACUACGACCCAGACUCCUACGGGAGGCAGCAGUGGGGAAUAUUGCACAAUGGGCGGAAGCCUAAUGUAGUCAAGCAGCGUGGGGGAUGACGGCCUUCGGGUUGUAAACUACUUCCGCUAGGGACGAAGCGCAAGUGACAGUACCUGGAGAAGAAGCACCGGCUAACUACGUG